This 255-nucleotide ribosomal RNA is filed under the name uncultured bacterium. RNAcentral's name for it is "partial 16S ribosomal RNA". It matches the Rfam family "Bacterial small subunit ribosomal RNA", at positions 524 to 777 of the family's 1533-position model. The record is from RNAcentral.
UACGUAGGGUGCAAGCGUUAAUCGGAAUUACUGGGCGUAAAGCGUGCGCAGGCGGUUUUGUAAGCCAGAUGUGAAAGCCCCGGGCUUAACCUGGGAAUGGCAUUUGGGACUGCAAGGCUUGAGUGCGGCAGAGGAGACUGGAAUUCCUGGUGUAGCAGUGAAAUGCGUAGAUAUCAGGAGGAAUACCGAUGGCGAAGGCAGGUCUCUGGGCUGACACUGACGCUCAUGCACGAAAGGCGUGGGGAGCAAACAAGG